AUAGACGUUCACCGAAUUGUUCGCCGGACUCUUAACUAAGGCCUCCCAUUUUAUCUCGCUGACUUUCUUAAUUAAGGUAAUUUCAACCUUACUUGAAAAUAAUUUGAAUGACGAUUUUUCAGGAACAAUUUCUUCAUACAGAGGAUCUAAAACCAAGGAGAAUAUUGAUCCAUCUUCAAGCUUAAUUUCUAUUUUCAACUAAAAUGGUUAGCCGGACGGUUUAGCUUUGCACAGUCCUUACAGUGUUCUUUUCCAUUAAUAAGCUCACAUCUUCAUCUUUGACUUUCUUCGCAUAUAUGUCGAUAUUUAGGGAAAAAGACGUUUGGGACCAGUCAUAACGAAUUCUAUUUGAAAGUUUUUCUUCGUUUUUUUCUAUUUGGCCUUCCGGCGCCUUCAAGCUCAUAUUAAGGAACUCUUCGUCUCCUUCAAUUUUGGCAGCUUCUAAUUCCGGAAUAUUUGGACAUUCAUCUGGAAUGAGCGAUGAGGUGUCCUGAUUCUGUUGUUCGUGAACGAUCGUAAGCAUGCUGUCUAGUUGAACUUGCCAUUUUGUUAAAUCUUCUUUUUUUAAAUGUUUUAGGGCAAAUCCAAAACAUAUGGCAGAACUUUGAUAUUGCUCAAGUAAGUAAUACGCAAGCCUGUAAAACAUAGUCAGCAAAUUACAGAAUUAUAGGAAUUUAGAAAUCGUAUUUACCCUCUUAGAGAUUGACAAUAACCAAUUAAACCGGUAUCGGAUUUCUUUUUUGCCAGCAAUAAAGCCCAAUUAGCAUGCUUUAGACAACUAAAUGGUUUGUAGGUAUUUAUGCAAGUUGUAAAACACUUGAUAUGCUCCUCUAUUGAGAAUGAUGGUUCUUUUACGAUACAUAGGUUUCUCUGCUUCGCCAAAUCAUUUGACAGUUUAUCAGAUAAUUUGAAAAGGGAAUCAUUAAUAUCAGAAAGAUCUACACCCAUUUUAUGGUUUUGCUUGUAAAACGGCGCAGAAGCUUGGUGGAUUAGAAAUUGAAGGUGGUGAUAAAAGCUAAUGCCCAGUGAAAGCGUGUAAGGAAUACAGAUCAUCAAGAUUAUUAUUAUAUGUAAGAUGGACCAAACAUGGGUUGAUAACUUAAUAA
Non-coding RNA from Schizosaccharomyces pombe (fission yeast), 1106 nucleotides. Lineage: Eukaryota; Fungi; Ascomycota; Schizosaccharomycetes; Schizosaccharomycetales; Schizosaccharomycetaceae. The record is from the annotation of a GenBank genome assembly.